GGGAGUUGUUUUUGUCAUUGGAACAUAUUGACAAGCUGCUUGGAAGGAUGGUCCCAAUGUCUGAGGAGUCCAGAACCAGGAGUCAAAGUCUAAGGAUAUGGGAUGCUGACAGACCUGCUGGGUUUCUCCAGCAAUGUCUGUUUCUGUUACAGUGAAGAUGUUAGCUCCUCAGACUGAUUUCCAGAAUCUGCUGCCCUAUGUGUUGGUUAUCAUGCCAGAUUCUGUUCUCCAGAGAAUGACACAACCAUGACCAGGCAACAACGACUUGCAAUAAUGUAAUACCUUUCACAAAAUAAAACAUC
Chiloscyllium plagiosum (whitespotted bambooshark) is the source of this 302-nucleotide non-coding RNA. Lineage: Eukaryota; Metazoa; Chordata; Chondrichthyes; Orectolobiformes; Hemiscylliidae. The record is from RefSeq and is a predicted model, not a curated record.